Molecule: ribosomal RNA, 253 nt
Filed under: uncultured bacterium
Lineage: Bacteria
Description: partial 16S ribosomal RNA
Rfam family: Bacterial small subunit ribosomal RNA
Source: RNAcentral
UACGGAGGGUGCAAACGUUGCUCGGAAUCAUUGGGCGUAAAGCGCACGUAGGCGGUCCAGUAAGUCGGGUGUGAAAGCCCUCGGCUCAACCGAGGAAGUGCAUUCGAAACUACUGAACUUGAGUAUGGAAGAGGGUCGCGGAAUUCCCGGUGUAGAGGUGAAAUUCGUAGAUAUCGGGAGGAACACCAGUGGCGAAGGCGGCGACCUGGACAGAUAUUGACGCUGAGGUGCGAAAGCGUGGGGAGCAAACAGG